This is a regulatory RNA element of Roseobacter sp. SK209-2-6, 100 nucleotides long. It matches the Rfam family "Pyrrolysine insertion sequence mttB". The record is from Rfam. NCBI's taxonomy places the organism in Bacteria, Pseudomonadati, Pseudomonadota, Alphaproteobacteria, Rhodobacterales, Roseobacteraceae.
GCCUCCGACUCGAAAUUGCCUGACAUGCAAGCUGGCUGGGAGCAGAUGUGUUCUAACGUCAUGGCCGGACUUUCUGGCCUGAACAUGGUCUAUGAAGCCG